UACACGACCGUACCGCAAACCGACACUGGUGCGCGAGAUGAGUAUUCUAAGGCGCUUGAGAGAACUCAGGAGAAGGAACUCGGCAAAUUGACACCGUAACUUCGGAAGAAGGUGUGCCUUUAGUAGGUGAACCUGUACAAGGGGAGCCCAAUGAGGUUGCAAAAAAUCGGUGGCUGCGACUGUUUAAUAAAAACACAGCACUCUGCAAACACGAAAGUGGACGUAUAUGGUGUGACGCCUGCCCGGUGCUGGAAGAUUAAAUGAUGGGGUGCAAGCUCUUGAUUGAAGUCCCAGUAAACGGCGGCCGUAACCAUAACGGUCCUAAGGUAGCGAAAUUCCUUGUCGGGUAAGUUCCGACCUGCACGAAUGGCGUAACGAUGGCCACACUGUCUCCUCCUGAGACUCAGCGAAGUUGAAAUGUUUGUGAUGAUGCAAUCUCCCCGCGGAAAGACGGAAAGACCCCAUGAACCUUUACUGUAGCUUUGUAUUGGACUUUGAACAGAUCUGUGUAGGAUAGGUGGGAGGCUUUGAAGUGUGGUCGCUAGAUCGCAUGGAGCCAACGUUGAAAUACCACCCUGGUGUGUUUGAGGUUCUAACCUAGGCCCGUAAUCCGGGUCGGGGACAGUGCAUGGUAGGCAGUUUGACUGGGGCGGUCUCCUCCCAAAGCGUAACGGAGGAGUUCGAAGGUACGCUAGGUACGGUCGGACAUCGUGCUAAUAGUGCAAUGGCAUAAGCGUGCUUAACUGCGAGACUGACAAGUCGAGCAGAUGCGAAAGCAGGACAUAGUGAUCCGGUGGUUCUGUAUGGAAGGGCCAUCGCUCAACGGAUAAAAGGUACUCUGGGGAUAACAGGCUGAUACCGCCCAAGAGUUCAUAUCGACGGCGGUGUUUGGCACCUCGAUGUCGGCUCAUCUCAUCCUGGGGCUGUAGCCGGUCCCAAGGGUAUGGCUGUUCGCCAUUUAAAGAGGUACGUGAGCUGGGUUUAAAACGUCGUGAGACAGUUUGGUCCCUAUCUUCCGUGGGCGCUGCAGAUUUGAGGAAGCCUGCUCCUAGUACGAGAGGACCGGAGUGGACACACCUCUGGUGUAUCGGUUGUCACGCCAGUGGCAUUGCCGAGUAGCUAUGUGUGGAAGAGAUAACCGCUGAAAGCAUCUAAGCGGGAAACUCGUUUCAAGAUGAGAUCUGCCGGGGCCUUGAGCCCCCUAAAGAGUCGUUCAAGACCAGGACGUUGAUAGGUCGGGUGUGGAAGCGCAGUAAUGCGUUAAGCUAACCGAUACUAAUUGCUCGUGCGGCUUGAUC
Molecule: ribosomal RNA, 1298 nt
Filed under: metagenome
Description: bacterial LSU rRNA
Rfam family: Bacterial large subunit ribosomal RNA
Source: RNAcentral